This 2007-nucleotide ribosomal RNA is filed under the name metagenomes. RNAcentral's name for it is "bacterial LSU rRNA". It matches the Rfam family "Bacterial large subunit ribosomal RNA", at positions 831 to 2841 of the family's 2925-position model. The record is from RNAcentral.
AAUCGAACUCGGAGAUAGCUGGUUCUCCCCGAAAUAGCUUUAGGGCUAGCCUCGGUGAAUGGAGUGGUGGAGGUAGAGCACUGAUUGGGUGCGGGGCCCGCAAGGGUUACCAAGCUCAGUCAAACUCCGAAUGCCAUUUACUUCUUGCCGGGAGUCAGACAGUGAGUGCUAAGAUCCAUUGUCAAAAGGGAAACAGCCCAGACCAUCAGCUAAGGUCCCCAAGUGUGUGUUAAGUGGGAAAGGAUGUGGAGUUGCACAGACAACCAGGAUGUUGGCUUAGAAGCAGCCACCAUUGAAAGAGUGCGUAAUAGCUCACUGGUCGAGUGACUCUGCGCCGAAAAUGUAACGGGGCUAAACACACCACCGAAGCUAUGGCUAGAUGCUUUGCAUCUGGGGUAGGGGAGCGUUGUAUGUGGGUUGAAGGUGUACCGUAAGGAGCGCUGGACAGCAUACAAGUGAGAAUGCCGGUAUGAGUAACGAAAAGAUCAGUGAGAAUCUGAUCCGCCGAAAGCCCAAGGUUUCCUGAGGAAGGCUCGUCCGCUCAGGGUAAGUCGGGACCUAAGGCGAGGCCGAAAGGCGUAGUCGAAGGACAACAGUUUGAAAUUACUGUACCACCGUAAUCCGCUAUGAGCGAUGGGGUGACGCAGGAGGGUAGUGACGCGGACUGAUGGAUGUCCGUCUAAGCAGUGAGGCUGGUGUGUAGGCAAAUCCGCACAUCGUAAGGCUGGGCUGUGAUGGGGAGCGAAAAUUAUAGUAGCGAAGGUCAUGAUCUCACACUGCCAAGAAAAGCCUCUAGCCAGGAGAAGGUGCCCGUACCGCAAACCGACACAGGUAGGCGAGAAGAGAAUUCUAAGGCGCGCGGAAGAACUCUCGUUAAGGAACUCGGCAAAAUGACCCCGUAACUUCGGGAGAAGGGGUGCCUCGGUAGGGUGAAUAGCCCGAGGGGGCCGCAGUGAAAAGGCCCAAGCGACUGUUUAGCAAAAACACAGGUCUGUGCGAAGCCGCAAGGCGAAGUAUACGGGCUGACGCCUGCCCGGUGCUGGAAGGUUAAGGGGAGUGGUUAGGAGCAAUCCGAAGCUAUGAACCGAAGCCCCAGUAAACGGCGGCCGUAACUAUAACGGUCCUAAGGUAGCGAAAUUCCUUGUCAGGUAAAUUCUGACCCGCACGAAUGGCGUAACGACUUGGGCGCUGUCUCAACGAGAGAUCCGGUGAAAUUUUAAUACCUGUGAAGAUGCAGGUUACCCGCGACAAGACGGAAAGACCCCAUGGAGCUUUACUGCAGCUUGAUAUUGAAUUUGGGUACGAUCUGUACAGGAUAGGUGGGAGCCGUAGAGGCAGGAGCGCAAGCUUCUGCGGAGGCGCCGUUGGGAUACCACCCUGAUCGUAUCUAGGUUCUAACCUGGUACCCUAAGCGGGUACGGGGACCGUGUCAGGCGGGCAGUUUGACUGGGGCGGUCGCCUCCUAAAGAGUAACGGAGGCGUUCAAAGGUUCCCUCAGAAUGGUUGGAAAUCAUUCGAAGAGUGCAAAGGCAUAAGGGAGCUUGACUGCGAGACCUACAAGUCGAGCAGGGACGAAAGUCGGACUUAGUGAUCCGGUGGUACCGCAUGGAAGGGCCAUCGCUCAACGGAUAAAAGCUACCCUGGGGAUAACAGGCUUAUCUCCCCCAAGAGUCCACAUCGACGGGGAGGUUUGGCACCUCGAUGUCGGCUCAUCGCAUCCUGGAGCUGAAGUAGGUUCCAAGGGUUUGGCUGUUCGCCAAUUAAAGCGGUACGCGAGCUGGGUUCAGAACGUCGUGAGACAGUUCGGUCCCUAUCUGUCGUGGGCGCAGGAAAUUUGAGAGGAGCUGUCCUUAGUACGAGAGGACCGGGAUGGACGUACCGCUGGUGCACCAGUUGUUUCGCCAGAAGCAUGGCUGGGUAGCUACGUACGGACGGGAUAAGCGCUGAAAGCAUCUAAGCGUGAAGCCCCCCUCAAGAUGAGAUUUCCCAAUUAGUAAGACCCCUUGA